AUGCAGCAACGCCGCGUGCGGGAAGAAGGCCCUAGGGUUGUAAACCGCUUACAGCAGGGAGAAAAUGACGGUACCUGCAGAAGAAGGUGCGGCCAACUACGUGCCAGCAGCCGCGGUGACACGUAGGCACCAAGCGUUAUCCGGAUUUAUUGGGCGUAAAGAGCUCGUAGGCGGUUCGGUAAGUCGGGUGUGAAAACUCUGGGCUCAACCCAGAGAGGCCACUCGAUACUGCUGUGACUAGAGUGCGGUAGGGGAGCGGGGAAUUCAUGGUGUAGCGGUGAAAUGCGCAGAUAUCAUGAGGAACACCAGUGGCGAAGGCGCCGCUCUGGGCCGUAACUGACGCUGAGGAGCGAAAGCAUGGGUAGCAAACAGGAUUAGAUACCCUGGUAGUCCAUGCCGUAAACGUUGGGCACUAGGUGUGGGUCUCAACCAACGAGAUCCGCGCCGUCGCUAACGCAUUAAGUGCCCCGCCUGGGGAGUACGGUCGCAAGACUA
RNAcentral lists this ribosomal RNA (495 nucleotides) under uncultured Actinomycetes bacterium. Its description in RNAcentral is "bacterial SSU rRNA". It matches the Rfam family "Bacterial small subunit ribosomal RNA", at positions 386 to 896 of the family's 1533-position model. Lineage: Bacteria; Bacillati; Actinomycetota; Actinomycetes. The record is from RNAcentral.